RNAcentral lists this ribosomal RNA (790 nucleotides) under uncultured crenarchaeote. RNAcentral's name for it is "bacterial SSU rRNA". It matches the Rfam family "Archaeal small subunit ribosomal RNA", at positions 82 to 874 of the family's 1478-position model. Lineage: Archaea; Thermoproteati; Thermoproteota. The record is from RNAcentral.
UUUACGGCUCAGUAACACGUAGUCAACAUGCCCAGGGGACGUGGAUAACCUCGGGAAACUGAGGAUAAACCGCGAUAAGUCACUACUUCUGGAAUGGGUAAUGACUAAAAUCUACAUGGCCCCUGGAUUGGACUGCGGCCGAUCAGGCUGUUGGUGAGGUAAUGGCCCACCAAACCUGUAACCGGUACGGGCUCUGAGAGGAGGAGCCCGGAGAUGGGCACUGAGACAAGGGCCCAGGCCCUAUGGGGCGCAGCAGGCGCGAAACCUCUGCAAUAGGCGAAAGCCUGACCAGGGUUACUCUGAGUGAUUUCCGUUAAGGAGAUCUUUUGGCACCUCUAAAAAUGGUGCAGAAUAAGGGGUGGGCAAGUCUGGUGUCAGCCGCCGCGGUAAUACCAGCACCCCGAGUGGUCGGGACGUUUAUUGGGCCUAAAGCAUCCGUAGCCGGUUCUACAAGUCUUCCGUUAAAUCCACCUGCUUAACAGAUGGGCUGCGGAAGAUACUAUAGAGCUAGGAGGCGGGAGAGGCAAGCGGUACUCGAUGGGUAGGGGUAAAAUCCGUUGAUCCAUUGAAGACCACCAGUGGCGAAGGCGGCUUGCCAGAACGCGCUCGACGGUGAGGGAUGAAAGCUGGGGGAGCAAACCGGAUUAGAUACCCGGGUAGUCCCAGCUGUAAACGAUGCAGACUCGGUGAUGAGUUGGCUUCUUGCCAACUCAGUGCCGCAGGGAAGCCGUUAAGUUUGCCGCCUGGGGAGUACGGUCGCAAGACUGAAACUUAAAGGAAUUGGCGGGAU